RNAcentral lists this ribosomal RNA (671 nucleotides) under uncultured Thelephora. RNAcentral's name for it is "eukaryotic LSU rRNA". The stretch from base 252 to 406 matches the Rfam family "5.8S ribosomal RNA". The record is from RNAcentral. Lineage: Eukaryota; Fungi; Basidiomycota; Agaricomycetes; Thelephorales; Thelephoraceae.
AAGUAAAAGUCGUAACAAGGUUUCCGUAGGUGAACCUGCGGAAGGAUCAUUAACGAAUCGUCAAACAUGGGUUGUCGCUGGUCCCAAACGGGGCACGUGCACGCUCUGUUUACGCAUCCACUCACACCUGUGCACCCUCUGUAGUUCUAUGGUUCGGAAGGCCCCGUCUUCCUUCUGUGGUUCUACGUCUUUACACACACGCUGUAGUGACGUCUUGUGGAAUGUUUUUUGCGUUUAACGCGAUACAAUACAACUUUCAGCAACGGAUCUCUUGGCUCUCGCAUCGAUGAAGAACGCAGCGAAAUGCGAUAAGUAAUGUGAAUUGCAGAAUUCAGUGAAUCAUCGAAUCUUUGAACGCACCUUGCGCCCCUUGGUUAUUCCUUGGGGCAUGCCUGUUUGAGUAUCAUGAACACUUCAACUCUCACGGUCUUCCGUGACGAGCUUGGACUUUGGAGGCUUGCCGGCCCUACGGUCGGCUCCUCUCAAACAAAUCAGCUUGCCAGUGUUUGGCGGCGUUCCGGGUGUGAUAACUAUCUACGCUCGUGGUCGUCUGCCAGGUAACCCUCAGCGAUGAAGGUUCAUUGGGGCUCAUAGAUGUCUCUCCUCAGCGAAGACGACUUUUGAACGUUCGAUCUCAAAUCAGGUAGGACUACCCGCUGAACUUAAGCAUA